GAGAAGGUUAACAACGCUGUGCUGUUCGAUCAGGCGAGCUAUGAUAAGAUGAUUGCCGAGGUUCCCAAGUUCAAGCAGAUCACACCGUCGGUGCUGUCUGAGAGGCUGAGGAUCAAUGGUUCUCUUGCAAGGAAGGCAAUCAAGGACUUGAUGGCCCGUGGUGCCAUCCGUGUGGUAACAGCACACUCCAGUCAGCAAAUCUACACCCGGGCUACCAAUACCUAGAAGUCUAGAAGUCCUCUGCUUGUGAUGUUAUCUCCCAGUCGUCUUUAGGAGCCUUUUUCAGUUAACCAGUUUUACUGGUGCUUUUGUUAUCAACUAUUUGUGUUAUUGAACUUGCUGUUUUUUCUGAGCUGGUGAAAGUAGAUUGAUGGUUUAA
Molecule: unclassified non-coding RNA, 379 nt
Filed under: Hevea brasiliensis (rubber tree)
Lineage: Eukaryota; Viridiplantae; Streptophyta; Magnoliopsida; Malpighiales; Euphorbiaceae
Source: RNAcentral